Molecule: ribosomal RNA, 282 nt
Filed under: Staphylococcus delphini
Lineage: Bacteria; Bacillati; Bacillota; Bacilli; Caryophanales; Staphylococcaceae
Description: partial 16S ribosomal RNA
Rfam family: Bacterial small subunit ribosomal RNA
Source: RNAcentral
UUUAUGGAGAGUUUGAUCCUGGCUCAGGAUGAACGCUGGCGACGUGCCUAAUACAUGCAAGUCGAGCGAACAGAUAAGGAGCUUGCUCCUUUGACGUUAGCGGCGGACGGGUGAGUAACACGUGGGUAACCUACCUAUAAGACUGGAAUAACUCUGGGAAACCGGGGCUAAUGCCGGAUAACAUGUUGAACCGCAUGGUUCUACAGUGAAAGACGGUCUUGCUGUCACUUAUAGAUGGACCCGCGCCGUAUUAGCUAGUUGGUGGGGUAACGGCCUACCAAG